ACUGACGUUCAUGCCCGAAAGCGUGGGUAGCAAACAGGAUUAGAUACCCUGGUAGUCCACGCCCUAAACGAUGUCAAUUAGCUGUUGGGCAACUUGAUUGCUUAGUAGCGUAGCUAACGCGUGAAAUUGACCGCCUGGGGAGUACGGUCGCAAGAUUAAAACUCAAAGGAAUUGACGGGGACCCGCACAAGCGGUGGAUGAUGUGGAUUAAUUCGAUGCAACGCGAAGAACCUUACCUGGUCUUGACAUGUACGGAAUCCUCCAGAGACGGAGGAGUGCCUUCGGGAGCCGUAACACAGGUGCUGCAUGGCUGUCGUCAGCUCGUGUCGUGAGAUGUUGGGUUAAGUCCCGCAACGAGCGCAACCCUUGUCAUUAGUUGCCAUCAUUCAGUUGGGCACUCUAAUGAGACUGCCGGUGACAAGCCGGAGGAAGGUGGGGAUGACGUCAAGUCCUCAUGGCCCUUAUGACCAGGGCUUCACACGUCAUACAAUGGUCGGUACAGAGGGUAGCCAAGCCGCGAGGUGGAGCCAAUCUCACAAAACCGAUCGUAGUCCGGAUUGCACUCUGCAACUCGAGUGCAUGAAGUCGGAAUCGCUAGUAAUCGCAGGUCAGCAUACUGCGGUGAAUACGUUCCCGGGUCUUGUACACACCGCCCGUCACACCAUGGGAGUGGGGGAUACCAGAAGUAGGUAGGAUAACCGCAAGGAGUCCGCUUACCACGGUAUGCUUCAUGACUGGGGUGAAGUCGUAACAAGGUAGCCGUAGGGGAACCUGCGGCUG
RNAcentral lists this ribosomal RNA (780 nucleotides) under Neisseria meningitidis 80179. RNAcentral describes it as "bacterial SSU rRNA". It matches the Rfam family "Bacterial small subunit ribosomal RNA", at positions 739 to 1520 of the family's 1533-position model. The record is from RNAcentral. Lineage: Bacteria; Pseudomonadati; Pseudomonadota; Betaproteobacteria; Neisseriales; Neisseriaceae.